CCAACGGCUCUUUUAAGAGCCACCCACAUCUAUCUCAAAAGCAAA
Molecule: non-coding RNA, 45 nt
Organism: Xiphophorus maculatus (southern platyfish)
Lineage: Eukaryota; Metazoa; Chordata; Actinopteri; Cyprinodontiformes; Poeciliidae
Source: Rfam